RNAcentral lists this unclassified non-coding RNA (212 nucleotides) under Hevea brasiliensis (rubber tree). The record is from RNAcentral. Lineage: Eukaryota; Viridiplantae; Streptophyta; Magnoliopsida; Malpighiales; Euphorbiaceae.
UGCUGGCAUGUUCGAGAUGGAGAAUGUGAAGGGUGGUAGUCCCUAUGGUGCUGGUACCUAUGCGGGCGAUGGUUCAAGAGUCCCUACCGAGCUUGAACUCGAGACAGCUCGCCACCAGGGAAAGUACUUGGCCACUAUUGCGAAGAAGCUCAAGGGAUCUCCAUGAAUUACUUGUACCUUGACAUAGAGGUCAUUUACAAUUUUUAAACUGA